This 533-nucleotide ribosomal RNA is filed under the name Mycobacterium sp. ITM-2016-00317. Its description in RNAcentral is "bacterial LSU rRNA". It matches the Rfam family "Bacterial large subunit ribosomal RNA", at positions 1335 to 1768 of the family's 2925-position model. The record is from RNAcentral. Lineage: Bacteria; Bacillati; Actinomycetota; Actinomycetes; Mycobacteriales; Mycobacteriaceae.
CGCCGGAAGACCAAGGGUUCCUGGGCCAGGCCAGUCCGCCCAGGGUGAGUCGGGACCUAAGGCGAGGCCGACAGGCGUAGUCGAUGGACAACGGGUUGAUAUUCCCGUACCCGUGUGUGAGCGUCCCUGAUGAAUCCAUCUUGCUAACCGCCCAAAUCCAGUGGCACCGAUCCCUUCGGGGUGAGGGCUGCUGGGGCUGCGCGGGACCCAGGUGGGUAGUAGUCAAGCGAUGGGGUGACACAGGAAGGUAGCCGUACCAGUCAGUGGUAAUACUGGGGUAAGCCUGUAGGGCGAGUGAUAGGUAAAUCCGUCACUCAUGAUGCCUGAGAGGUGAUGCAUAGCCGAUUGAGGCGAAUUCGGUGAUCCUAUGCUGUCGAGAAAAGCCUCUAGCGAGCGCACACACGGCCCGUACCCCAAACCAACACAGGUGGUCAGGUAGAGAAUACCGAGGCGUACGAGUGAACUAUGGUUAAGGAACUCGGCAAAAUGCCCCCGUAACUUCGGGAGAAGGGGGACCCACGUACCGUCAUGGC